GUUCAAAACGGAUUUUAAAAAAAAAAAAAAAAAAAAAAAAAAAAUUCAAGAAAUAGCAAAAACGGAAAGAGGAAAAAGAAAAAAACAAAAAAAGAAACACGCACUCAUAGCAACAUCAUAAAAUAUUUAUAAAAAAAUGAGCAGUUUAAUUGAUUAUUCUAAAUUCGAUAAAAUUGACACAAGUUCAUCAUCAGAUAGUGAUAAUGACAAAAAUAAAAUAUUAAAACCACAGAUAACUACUUUAAAUGAAAAGGAUAAAGUCGUCAUAGGACCUGAUGGAUUAACCAUACUAAAAGAAACCAGUAAUAUGAAAGAACAUAAUUAUGUAAUGAAAACUGUAGAACAACCACAAAAUAUAAAUCCUAUCGAUAAUAAACAUUUAGAUUAUAUAAAAAAAAGUGAUAAAUGUGAUAAUAAUGAGAACAAAAAUGAUUUACAUAAUAAUAAUUUAAAAAUAAAGGAUUUAGAAAAUUUAAAUAGUAUGAAGAACAUGAUAAUAAAUGGAGGAGUUGUUCCUUAUAAAUAUAUAUGGAAUCAAUCUAAAUAUGACGUUAAUGGUUAUAUUGCUUUACUAUUACAUACUAAAGCCAAAUCAUUAUCUAUUCAUAUUUAUGAAGAUAAGUUGAUUGUUAAAAAAAAUAAAGAACAAACUAUAACCGAUAACAACAAAAAACUAGUAAAAACAGAAUCUGAUCAACAUGAUAUAUUAAUUAAUAAAAAUUUUCCAUAUAAAAUAAAUAUGAAUGAAGAUACACAAUUGUGGGAGAUAAAAAAUGUGAAAAUAAAUUGGUAUAAGCUUUUUCAUUUAGCUAAUGAAAUAAAUAAUCAAAAUAUAUCAUUUGAUUUUGGUUCAAAUGUAAAUGAUAAAGAAGAAACCUUUUUAUAUAUUUCUUUAAAAAAACAAAACGAAAUUAAAAAUUCUUAUAUUUGGUGGUCAUGUUUAUUUGAACAUGAUGAACAAAUCGAUUUAUCUAAAUUACCAUCUCGUGUUUCAAAUAGUAAAAAUAAUAAAAAAAAUGAUAGUAAUACAUCAUUUAAAAAUAUAUGGAAUGAGGCUCAUCAAAUUUUUAAAAAAAACAUAUCAAAAAAGGUUUUACCAUUUCCCGUUGAUUUGUGAGUGCACACAUAUAUACAUAUAUAUAUAUAUAUAUAUAUAUAUGUGCUACCAAGCAAACAUUAAAAAAAAAAAAAAAAAACUGUUACCCUUUAAACAAAAAAUUAUUAAUAUUUAAAUUUUGACCAUAUAGAACGAAAUAAAA
Molecule: long non-coding RNA, 1259 nt
Filed under: Piliocolobus tephrosceles (Ugandan red Colobus)
Lineage: Eukaryota; Metazoa; Chordata; Mammalia; Primates; Cercopithecidae
Description: lncRNA (ENSPTEG00000013701.1)
Source: RNAcentral